CCUACGGGAGGCAGCAGUGAGGAAUAUUGGUCAAUGGGCGCGAGCCUGAACCAGCCAAGUAGCGUGAAGGAUGACUGCCCUACGGGUUGUAAACUUCUUUUAUAAGGGCAUAAAGUGAGGCACGUGUGCCUUUUUGUAUGUACUUUAUGAAUAAGGAUGGGGUAACUCCGUGCCAGCAGCCGCGGUAAUACGGAGGAUCCAAGCGUUAUCCGGAUUUAUUGGGUUUAAAGGGAGCGUAGAUGGGUUUUUAAGUCAGUUGUGAAAGUUUGCGGCUCAACCGUAAAAUUGCAAUUGAUACUGGAAGCCUUGAGUACAGUAGAGUUAGGCGGAAUUCGGGGUGUAGCGGUGAAAUGCGUAGAUAUCACGAAGAACUCCGAUUGCGAAGGCAGCUUACUAAACAGCCACUGACAUUGAUGCUCGAAAGUGUGGGUAUCAAACAGGAUUGGAUACCCUGGUAGUC
This 460-nucleotide ribosomal RNA is filed under the name uncultured bacterium. Its description in RNAcentral is "partial 16S ribosomal RNA". It matches the Rfam family "Bacterial small subunit ribosomal RNA", at positions 338 to 795 of the family's 1533-position model. The record is from RNAcentral.